This is a long non-coding RNA of Oncorhynchus tshawytscha (Chinook salmon), 383 nucleotides long. The record is from Ensembl. NCBI's taxonomy places the organism in Eukaryota, Metazoa, Chordata, Actinopteri, Salmoniformes, Salmonidae.
GCUGGGUCUAUCAGGUAACAUGCUGGGUGAUGGGUCUACCAGGUAACAUGCUGGGUGAUGAGUCUACCAGGUAACAUGCUGGGUGAUGGGUCUACCAGGUAACAUGCUGGGUGAUGGGUCUACCAGGUAACAUGCUGGGUCUAUCAGGUAACAUGCUGGGUCUAUCAGGUAACAUGCUGGGUGAUGAGUCUACCAGGUAACAUGCUGGGUGAUGGGUCUACCAAGUAACAUGCUGGGUGAUGGGUCUAUCAGGUAACAUGCUGUGUGAUGGGUCUACCAGGUAACAUGCUGGGUCUACCAGGUAACAUGAUGGGUCUAUCAGGUAACAUGCUGGGUGAUGGGUCUAUCAGGUAACAUGCUGGGUGAUGGGUCUACCAGGUAAC